RNAcentral lists this ribosomal RNA (225 nucleotides) under Triticum aestivum (bread wheat). RNAcentral's name for it is "partial small subunit ribosomal RNA". The record is from RNAcentral. Lineage: Eukaryota; Viridiplantae; Streptophyta; Magnoliopsida; Poales; Poaceae.
AUGAGGACUACUCUUAAGGACGCUUUGAAGACAGCUGAUCCACUUCUAUUGUCAAACGUUACUACUCCUUCUGAAAUACUUGCUACACUUGAGUUGAUAACAGAGUUGGCACAAGUAGACAUGUUGCACUCUUACGGAAAGUUGAUUCUUAAUGAAUGCUUGUUUGAAGCUCUAAUGGAGCUUCCCAUGCACAUGAGGAAGGCUUGACUGCUAUUAUUGCCUUGA